This 275-nucleotide ribosomal RNA is filed under the name uncultured bacterium. RNAcentral's name for it is "partial 16S ribosomal RNA". It matches the Rfam family "Bacterial small subunit ribosomal RNA", at positions 338 to 612 of the family's 1533-position model. The record is from RNAcentral.
CCUACGGGUGGCAGCAGUGAGGAAUAUUGCGCAAUGGGCGAAAGCCUGACGCAGCCACGCCGCGUGCAGGAAGACACCCCUCUGGGGCGUAAACUGCUUUUGUGUGAGAAGAAGGCCUACCUCGGGUAGGAUUGACGGUAUCGCACGAAUAAGGACCGGCUAACUCCGUGCCAGCAGCCGCGGUAAUACGGAGGGUCCAAGCGUUGUCCGGAAUCACUGGGUGUAAAGGGUGCGUAGGCGGACUCGUAAGUCAGGGGUGAAAGCCCGCGGCUCAA